Molecule: long non-coding RNA, 1763 nt
Filed under: Homo sapiens (human)
Lineage: Eukaryota; Metazoa; Chordata; Mammalia; Primates; Hominidae
Description: HSALNT0302294
Source: RNAcentral
UUUCGUCUCAUCUCCUUGCCAACAGCACAUAAGUGUGAGUGACUCCUUACUGCCGUCCAGGCAGCCUGGGGGCUACGAGGGGCUUCAGAGGUCCUCAUCCCCAGCCUGUAGGCCUGGCCAUACUGGACCCAUGAGAUCAGCCACCCUGUCAGCUGGUACCUCGGGGUCCUACAGUCCUCCUCGCUCAAGCCCUGGUCCUCUAACUCGGAGGUGAUGAGGUGUUGGGCUGGAAGAGACAGGCAGCCAGGCUUUUGAGACUGCAGUGUGAACAGAAGACACAACAACCCACGGAGUGAAGAAUUCUCUGGGCUGCCCCAGCAAUGCAGAGCAGUGUUCCCCUGGAGGGUGGAUGAACUCAGGCAGAGGGGCAGCCCCAGCCCUGGGCUCAGGGGGAAUGGGAAUCAGGUUUGCCCUUGCACCCCAGGGUAGCUGGUGAAGGCUGUCUUGGAUAAUCUUCGGCCUCUCCCUUCCAGACUCUUCUUUAAGCAUCCCCAUCCCACCUUGGUAUCCUAGUCCCUCUGCUACUCCCGUGCUUGCCUUCCUGGGACAGUGAUAGUUGCAGUUCCUGCUGACUUGGAGUGCCCCUCCGCUCUGUGUCCUGUGAGAAAGCGGUGGCCCAAAUGAUCACUCUGUGUUUAAGACAAUCUGGUCUUUUAAAAAAAAAUGAAGAAAGGAAAAGAUGUUUUUCCAGGUCUAAUUAUAAGAGUCAUAAGGCUGGAAAGAUUUGGAGAAAACAUCUGUCUCUCGGCUCUGCCUCCACUAGAUGAUUCCAAUGUACAGCCAAUGAUGAGCAGCUGCUGGGCUGAAGGGACUGGGGCCAUUUUAUACCAGUUGUAGGAUGUUACACAGAAAUGCCUGAAAAGCAAGGAGCAGCUAUCAGAAUGUUUGGUGACACAGCUCCUCCUGUCGUGGUUCCUUCGGCAUGGACUUCACAUUCAGCAGAUCCAUGAGGUGUUCCCUUUCGGAUGAGCUCCAAGGUCUUAAGAGAGCAUCUCUAGUCUGCGUGAGUCCGUCUGAACGACGGUCCUGAGCAAGAACCACCUAUAACCAUCUGCUCAAAAUAACUCAGGGGAAGUCAAAGCUUUCUAUGUGGAAGGUGACUGAAACCACAUACACAGACCACUGCAGCAUUCCUGACAUUAUGGAACUUGGAAAUGAUUCCAAACAUGGCCAUAGCUUGAGUAACAUGUUUUGCUAUGACAAGAACUUGGACUGUAGUCCUUCCCCCUCUCAAGAAUGUGACAUCACACCUUAUCAGAUCCUACGAGUGAGCUACUGACCUCAACCACUGAACUUCAAACUAUGUAAAAACCUAAGGGUUCGACAGACACUUUGAGAGCUUGGGCUGUGGCAAGCUACACUCUGUCAGCCUCUCUUCGACAGGGCCCCACCCUGCUAGCCUUUGAACUUGGAAGCAUCGCCCACAAACACCAGUGCCACCCUCUAGCCUUGAGGGACCAUAUAUGUCUCUGUGAAUCUCCGUUGCAUUGGACAGCUUCUCUCCCAAGAGCUGCUCUUAUAAAAGAGACACACCACAUUUUAAUGAGGCUUCGCUCUCCACAGAGGCCUGCUUCCAUCCUAAUUGAGCAAGUAGACUUUAGUAACUUUGGAACUCACUCACCCCGUGACUAAUACACCCUGUCUACCCAGCGCAUUCCCUGUGAGAUUUGUUCAUGUUGUUCUCCCCCUCCUUAAGCAUUGUGAACCUAGGAAAAAUAUCAUCUCUGUAGGGCAAUAAACCAUGUGAUUUGUGAAAUCAUACU